Long non-coding RNA from Mirounga angustirostris (Northern elephant seal), 1315 nucleotides. RefSeq lists it as uncharacterized. The record is from RefSeq and is a predicted model, not a curated record. Lineage: Eukaryota; Metazoa; Chordata; Mammalia; Carnivora; Phocidae. The transcript is spliced from 3 exons.
CCCGCUGUUCUGGGAACUCAUCCUCUUCUUCUAGAAGGGUCCUUCCCCCACUCUUUCAAGAGGACCCCGGGACAGUCUCAGCUGAGAACCAAGCUGCGGAAGCCCACUGGAGCUGAUCCCCAUGACCCCACCCCAUCCACUCCGGUGCUGAUGAGAAUCCUUUCUCAGAGUCUUUGCAGAAGGAAGGACCAUUAGCCACGUUUCUGGUGUUAGUAGGUGUUCACCUGGGCCGUCAUACCUGGAGAAGGAGCAGAGUAUUUCUGGAUGACUAGGAGCUGCAGAUUGCUUCGCUGAUGCAAACGGCAUGGAUUCGAGGGGUUCCCCAGGAUCCCACUGGUGAAAGGAAAGAAGGAAGUGGAUGUUUGUACCCCCACUUCAGUCUGGACAGGCUGUGGAGGCAUGUGCUUUGGUCCAUUGCAGAAGGAGAAGAGGGUGCACGUACGAGGGAAGGCUGACCACAUCUCCAGGCCGAGGUGCAACACGUGCUCACCAUGUUGGCAGAGCAAUUUUCAUCAUGUAACAGGGAAGAAGAAUGUCACUGGUGGGAAAGGAAGGACUCCCCUCAGUGGACAGGUCCCAGGCAGCGCAAAGAUUCUAAUGGAAGCCUCCAGAAGCUUAGAAGCAGCUGCAGAGAGUAAGGUUCCCCCACCUGAAGGGUUGGAGAGGGAAUCCCUUGGAGACAGAUGGCCUGGUUAUUACCUUGUACAGCCAUACCCGGAGGACCUUACAACACCUUUUACAAAGAUAAAAAAUUAUAAAGAAAAAAAGGCAAAGUUCUCUAUCCCAGUGCAUCAAAGUAAAAAAUUAAUCACAUCAAAAAAAAAAAAAAUCCUAAACCAUUUGGAAAUUUGAAAUAUAAAAAAAAAACUUCUCCCAAAUAACAAUUUGUGAGUCUUUAUCAAAAUCUACAAUAUGCUGACCUUGUACCCCAAAAAUGUGUUUCUUAGAGACCAUCCCCUAGAAAUAUUCAUUAGUGCGCUAAGAUGUAUGUCCUAGGACAUUCACUGCAGCCUUGUCUGUAACUGUAAAACCCUUGGGGGAAAAUCCCAAUGAUCUUCAUAGGGGUAAACAUAACGAAGUCAUGUGGCCAUUAUAAAGAAUUCGGUGACACACUUCUGACAUGGAAGGAGAGCUGAGUCUAAGCUCCAUGAGUGGGGCAGGGAGAUCUCUGUUCUGUCCACAUAUGGAUCCCAAGAUGCUGGAACAGAAAUGGGCACAUAGCUAUCUCUUAAUAAUAUUGAUUAAGUGAAUGGAUCUCUGAAAUGUAUUUCUAAGUGAAACUAGCAUAUGAGAGCAAUCUGCAUGGCAUGAACCA